This is a long non-coding RNA of Syngnathus acus (greater pipefish), 3651 nucleotides long. RefSeq lists it as uncharacterized. Lineage: Eukaryota; Metazoa; Chordata; Actinopteri; Syngnathiformes; Syngnathidae. The transcript is spliced from 2 exons. The record is from RefSeq and is a predicted model, not a curated record.
UCCCUAUUUCAGAAACACAUUAUUCUUUUUUAUUUGAUCAAAAUGGCUUUUCCAUGCAUUGCACCGACAAAUUACACUGAAGGCAUCAACAGCUUCUCAGCGUGCCCUUUUUUUUCCUUGCUUUUUUUUUUCUGCUGUCGUGGAAGAGACAGAAGCUGAAAAUGAACUUGUGAUCCUUCCCUCCCCCAGCCGUCCCCUCCCGAGAACUCAUUCCUCUAUCAAAGUUCACGCGGCGGCAACAAUGCCUCGUAAGCCGAUGCAGCAAACACAGAAGCUCAAGUAAACGUCAACAUGAGAGCGGGGCGGCGGAGAGAAGGUGCUUCAUUAGUAUGCUUCCUUUAGGCGUUGGGGCAGCACGCAGAUGCGCCGGUGUUGGAGGCGCUCUUGUUGGGGGUGCGGGAGAAGAUGGCCGGGAUUCUGGCGGUGGUCGACGCACGGCGAGAAUCUCAAUGAAGACAUUGGCCCCUCCUAAUUCUCAGAUGGCAAGCCGUGACCUACUUUUUCAGCAAGGCAGGUUCAUGCAAACUUGAUGAUGUUCUCGCAACGCCUGGGGUGAGCCCGGCAAUAUGGAGGCAGAACGGCAAGAGGGCGAAGGGGAGGGGCAAAUUAUGGCACAUGACUGCCGACCCGUUACUUAAUCCGCUCUACCGACUUUCAGUCUGGUUUGGUGCUGCCACAAAAAGGGCAAAAUCCAACUCCCACUCAUGAUAACUUGCUGCAAAAACUAAAACCUGGGCAAGCAAAGUUCUCUUGGACCACAUUCUGGUUACAACCUCCUUCAGGCUCCUUCUACCCAAACUAUUCACAAAAAAACUGGCAGACAUUUUAAUAUCUACUUCUUUCUCGACAUCAACUCACUAAACUUCAGACUUCAAUGGUGGCAUUUUGCACAUCUGUCUUCAUUUCUGUCGUUCUCCUCUUAAACCUUGUUCUCCCAAUAUUCCGCCCCCAAAAGCUAAUUUUCAGGGGUACAUGAAGCCGACUCCAUUAGCGAGAGACUUCAUCUCAGCUCCAUGAUUAUUUGAUGAAGCCCAAUGUGAUAUUAAUCCAAGAUGGCAGCCAUCAAAAAUCUCGCAUUCAAGACUCCCGCACACAUUUUUCCGAGCUAUUUUAGUCGUCCAGACGACGAGGUUCGAGCCUUUGUUUCAUCUUGUGUCCUGCUACUUCUCAUCACAAUCACUACAACUGCGUCUCAAGACCUCAGAAGGCCCCAAAGUAGAUGACGUUCUCGUAGAUUUGAUUGAUUUUGUAUCGUAUCCCGUGCAAGGUGGAAUCGUAAGUUAAAAUCUCGUCGGACAAAAUGUCUACCGAAUCUUAACUGAUCAUCUUAGUUUCAGUAAUUGUUCAAAUGUUCAACACAAGGUAUAAGAAAUAGCGCGUCAAUGCGAUAACAAUCAUAUCUCGUCGGAGUUACAUUGCCGAGCUGAGAAGAGGAAGCCUUGAGAAACAUUCCGUAAUCGACUCGGGCCCUCUAAAUGCAUCACGAUAUUAAAUGGCACUUAAAGCUCCAGUUGCGUGCUUUCCGUCGAGCUAAUUAAGUAUAUUGUGAUCCUGGACAAAUCUAUCAGUCUUCAAACUUAUUCUGGCACAAACUUUCGUCUUGAUUAAGAUAUUUGGAGAGCUGCCCGAGAGCGCUGAAUUUAGAUGUGUGGGAUAUUGUCUGGUCCCGGUCCAAGAUGGAAUAAUUAGAGUUAAGUAAGCAGAUGCUGCUUUUGUCAUUUACUAAUGAGAAGGUGGUUUACUCUUUUACUUUUGAAUUGUUUUUCCAGGUUGCAUUAUUAAUUGUUAUUGAUAUUAUUUUCAGAUAUUUAGAUGUUCUUUCCCAUCUUUUGGAGAUUUAUUUUUCCGAAAUGUUUAUUUUUUUAUUUUUUGAGCGUUUGCCUGGACGAGCAUCAUUUUUGCGAUCGAAGCAAAUAAUCGUAACAGUCACAUGACCUGCAAUCACAUGACCUUGAUCACCGCGCAACCUUGGUCAGAUACUCUUGGCCACUCUUGGAUAAUUUUCCGUUCUCUUUGGAAAGAAACACGGUCUUAUUAUUCCCUCUUUGAGAUCUUUUAUUGAUCAGUGUCCAUGCAAUGUGCACCGACUAAUUGCCUUAAAGAAAAACAAGAAUAAAGGAAUGAACCAUUUACCGAACGGCGUUCGUAUAAAGUGCAGUUUUGUCUUCGCUGAUGCGGUCGAGGCGUUUUAAACACCGCUAAAACCUCGUCGUCGUCUGCAAAUAGUCGCUUGUGAGCCCAUUGUUAGCUUCAAAAGAAUAUAAAACAAAACUCUGCUGGACUAUUUGGUUUCGCUCGUUUGCAAGUACCACACGUGAUGAUGUAAUGUUAAUGAUGUGUGUGACUACAAAUAAAUCCCAGCGGUGUUAUUAUGGGAUGCUGUGUAAUAUUUCUGUACUUUUUUUCCUCGCUCUCUCCCUUUUAUGGCUGAGUUUCCAACUGGGUAUAAAGCAAAUUGAUGUGGUCUCUUUAAACAAGUUUAGUGCAUCAGCGAAGCGGCAUGACAACAAAAUGGUGGCCAUGAUGAGGAUGAUGGAUCAUAAAUCGGUCUACAUCAAACACUAUCACCAAGAUAUUAUAGCAAUGAACAAAGCUUGAAAAUGUAGUGUUAUGAAUAUACAAAGGUCAAAUUAACACACAAUUGCAGACAUGACAUAAAAAUGACAGUUGGCGACUCACACACACAUUGAGCAACUUGAGCGACCGAGAUGCUGCGACGGAAAAUUCCGAAACUGGACAAGGUUUAGUAAUAUGCUUUACUAUCACUUAUUAAACCAUAAAAUCAUAGCGUGAUGGUAAAAAAAAAGAAGGCUGCUCCAAACAAUGAAAGAGUCUGUCGCUAGUAGUCCGCUAUGUCUUACUUGCUUAAAAGUCGGAAAUAAAUGAAAUGACCAACUAUGAUUUGAAAACACUGAACAGCUGAUUUCCUGUCUGUUUUAUUUCAUGCGUUCUUCAGACUUUUAUGUGACUCCAUUUAUCAUGAAUGAUGGCUAAUGAAUUUUACUAAGAUGUCAUACAGGCUAGCCAAGUUAGCACAACACCUAAUCAACCGUUCAUAUUUGUUUUUUUAUCAAUAAACUAUCAAGGAAAUGCAGUCACCUACAGGCUUGUACGAAACCUCGAAAGUUUAAAAAAAAAAUUCAAACCAAUCAAAUUGAUAUCAUAAAAGAAAAUAGCUUCACAAGUACGCCUGAAAAUGGCUGCCUUAAUGCUAAAUGGCUGACGUCCUGUGUUUUGACAUGUUUUGUAAGACUCUAAUCAUAGACAUUAAAUUACCUGUCACCAAGUGAAAUUAGCAUCAUGAGCUUUUUUGAGCCACAUUACUUAACACAUAUGGAACAAUCCAGAUAAGUCAACAUCAGAUGUGUAGGUGUUAAUUAGAAGGCACACAGAAACAACACAUAACCACAACCUGUCUGACUGAAAAUUGUCUUUCUUUAUCUUCAAGUAUCUCCUCCUCCACUUGAAAGAAAGCGCCAUGCUGCCAAACAAAGAACAAACUAUUAUCUGGAUUCACCAUUUUUUCUUUUUGGUGGCCUUUUGGCGACAACGCCGCCAUCAGAGGACCGAGGACGAGUCUUACCGCCGGCGCAUACCGCUUUUUGGGCUGGUUGCUGGGUUUAAAUAAAAGAUGCUCCUUGUAAAAAAAAA